This 253-nucleotide ribosomal RNA is filed under the name uncultured bacterium. RNAcentral describes it as "partial 16S ribosomal RNA". It matches the Rfam family "Bacterial small subunit ribosomal RNA", at positions 524 to 776 of the family's 1533-position model. The record is from RNAcentral.
UACGAAGGGGGCUAGCGUUGCUCGGAAUUACUGGGCGUAAAGCGCGCGUAGGCGGCUUUGUAAGUCAGCGGUGAAAGCCUGGAGCUCAACUCCAGAACUGCCUUUGAAACUACAUCGCUAGAAUCAUGGAGAGGUUAGUGGAAUUCCGAGUGUAGAGGUGAAAUUCGUAGAUAUUCGGAAGAACACCAGUGGCGAAGGCGACUAACUGGACAGGUAUUGACGCUGAGGUGCGAAAGCGUGGGGAGCAAACAGG